Balaenoptera ricei (Rice's whale) is the source of this 384-nucleotide non-coding RNA. The record is from the annotation of a RefSeq genome assembly. NCBI's taxonomy places the organism in Eukaryota, Metazoa, Chordata, Mammalia, Artiodactyla, Balaenopteridae.
CUGGGCUUGAUGAAUCUCAUCUGCAAGAAGAUGAAUCCACUGUGGUUCUUCCUCUUUCUGGUGUCAGCUCCCAGAGGUGUCCUGACCCAGGGGCAGCUGCAGGAGUCGGGACCCAGCCUGGUGAAGCCCUCCCAGACCCUCUCCCUCACCUGCACUGUCUCCGGAUUCUCAUUAACCAGUUAUGAUGUAGGCUGGGUCCGACAGGCUCCAGGAAAGGGGCUGGAGUAUGUUGGUGUGAUCGAUUAUGAUGGAAACGCAUAUUAUAACCCAACUCUGAAGUCCCGGCUCAGCAUCACCAGGGACACCUCCAAGAGCCAAGUCUAUUUAUCACUGAGCAGCCUGACAACUGAAGACACCGCCGUGUAUUACUGUGCAGGCAACACA